UGCAAGUCGAGCGGUACAUUUCAAAGCUUGCUUUUGAAGAUGACGAGCGGCGGACGGGUGAGUAAUGCCUAGGAAAUUGCCCUGAUGUGGGGGAUAACCAUUGGAAACGAUGGCUAAUACCGCAUGAUGCCUACGGGCCAAAGAGGGGGACCUUCGGGCCUCUCGCGUCAGGAUAUGCCUAGGUGGGAUUAGCUAGUUGGUGAGGUAAUGGCUCACCAAGGCGACGAUCCCUAGCUGGUCUGAGAGGAUGAUCAGCCACACUGGAACUGAGACACGGUCCAGACUCCUACGGGAGGCAGCAGUGGGGAAUAUUGCACAAUGGGCGCAAGCCUGAUGCAGCCAUGCCGCGUGUAUGAAGAAGGCCUUCGGGUUGUAAAGUACUUUCAGUCGUGAGGAAGGUGGUGUUGUUAAUAGCAGCAUCAUUUGACGUUAGCGACAGAAGAAGCACCGGCUAACUCCGUGCCAGCAGCCGCGGUAAUACGGAGGGUGCGAGCGUUAAUCGGAAUUACUGGGCGUAAAGCGCAUGCAGGUGGUUCGUUAAGUCAGAUGUGAAAGCCCGGGGCUCAACCUCGGAACUGCAUUUGAAACUGGCGGACUAGAGUACUGUAGAGGGGGGUAGAAUUUCAGGUGUAGCGGUGAAAUGCGUAGAGAUCUGAAGGAAUACCGGUGGCGAAGGCGGCCCCCUGGACAGAUACUGACACUCAGAUGCGAAAGCGUGGGGAG
RNAcentral lists this ribosomal RNA (723 nucleotides) under Vibrio aestuarianus. RNAcentral's name for it is "bacterial SSU rRNA". It matches the Rfam family "Bacterial small subunit ribosomal RNA", at positions 56 to 768 of the family's 1533-position model. The record is from RNAcentral. Lineage: Bacteria; Pseudomonadati; Pseudomonadota; Gammaproteobacteria; Vibrionales; Vibrionaceae.